GUUGGGUUAAGUCCCGCAACGAGCGCAACCCUUAUCCUUUGUUGCCAGCGGUUAGGCCGGGAACUCAAAGGAGACUGCCAGUGAUAAACUGGAGGAAGGUGGGGAUGACGUCAAGUCAUCAUGGCCCUUACGACCAGGGCUACACACGUGCUACAAUGGCGCAUACAAAGAGAAGCGACCUCGCGAGAGCAAGCGGACCUCAUAAAGUGCGUCGUAGUCCGGAUUGGAGUCUGCAACUCGACUCCAUGAAGUCGGAAUCGCUAGUAAUCGUGGAUCAGAAUGCCACGGUGAAUACGUUCCCGGGCCUUGUACACACCGCCCGUCACACCAUGGGAGUGGGUUGCAAAAGAAGUAGGUAGCUUAACCUUCGGGAGGGCGCUUACCACUUUGUGAUUCAUGACUGGGGUGAAGUCGUAACAAGGUAACCGUAGGGGAACCUGC
RNAcentral lists this ribosomal RNA (441 nucleotides) under Salmonella enterica subsp. enterica serovar Agona. RNAcentral describes it as "bacterial SSU rRNA". It matches the Rfam family "Bacterial small subunit ribosomal RNA", at positions 1074 to 1515 of the family's 1533-position model. Lineage: Bacteria; Pseudomonadati; Pseudomonadota; Gammaproteobacteria; Enterobacterales; Enterobacteriaceae. The record is from RNAcentral.